UACGGGGGGGGCAAGCGUUGUUCGGAAUUACUGGGCGUAAAGGGCUCGUAGGUGGCCAACUAAGUCAGACGUGAAAUCCCCAGGCUUAACCUGGGAACUGCGUCUGAUACUGGAUGGCUUGAAUUCGGGAGAGGGAUGCAGAAUUCCAGGUGUAGCGGUGAAAUGCGUAGAUAUCUGGAGGAAUACCGGUGGCGAAGGCGGGUCUCUGGGCCGAUACUGACGCUGAGGAGCGAAAGCGUGGGGAGCGAACAGG
Molecule: ribosomal RNA, 253 nt
Filed under: uncultured bacterium
Lineage: Bacteria
Description: partial 16S ribosomal RNA
Rfam family: Bacterial small subunit ribosomal RNA
Source: RNAcentral